AGAUUAACAGGCGAAAAUAAGAACUUCUAAUUCUUACAGGGGGGUUCAACUCCUCCGUAAUCUC
RNAcentral lists this transfer RNA (64 nucleotides) under Lumbricus rubellus (humus earthworm). RNAcentral describes it as "tRNA-Ser". Lineage: Eukaryota; Metazoa; Annelida; Clitellata; Crassiclitellata; Lumbricidae. The record is from RNAcentral.